AGUGAACGCUGGCGGUAAGCCUAACACAUGCAAGUCGAACGGCAGCACAGUAAGAGCUUGCUCUUACGGGUGGCGAGUGGCGGACGGGUGAGGAAUACAUCGGAAUCUACUUUUUCGUGGGGGAUAACGUAGGGAAACUUACGCUAAUACCGCAUACGACCUACGGGUGAAAGCAGGGGAUCUUCGGACCUUGCGCGAUUGAAUGAGCCGAUGUCGGAUUAGCUAGUUGGCGGGGUAAAGGCCCACCAAGGCGACGAUCCGUAGCUGGUCUGAGAGGAUGAUCAGCCACACUGGAACUGAGACACGGUCCAGACUCCUACGGGAGGUAGCAGUGGGGAAUAUUGGACAAUGGGCGCAAGCCUGAUCCAGCCAUACCGCGUGGGUGAAGAAGGCCUUCGGGUUGUAAAGCCCUUUUGUUGGGAAAGAAAAGCAGCAGGUUAAUACCCCGCUGUUCUGACGGUACCCAAAGAAUAAGCACCGGCUAACUUCGUG
RNAcentral lists this ribosomal RNA (492 nucleotides) under uncultured bacterium. Its description in RNAcentral is "partial 16S ribosomal RNA". It matches the Rfam family "Bacterial small subunit ribosomal RNA", at positions 29 to 507 of the family's 1533-position model. The record is from RNAcentral.